CUGUAAGUUGAUAUUUUCUCGCACCCGUUAUCGUUCCUCGAAAGUCGAACCAAACAACCUCCGGAGAUGAAGUGGACUAAACUGGAAACAAACAGAAACAAGAAGGAUCCGCGACCUCCUAUUUUAAGCUUUAUUUUAUUCAGAGGGCAAUUUGAAUGCUUAUUCUCGGGAAAUUAAUUCACAGCAGCAAAGGAGAAAAUGAAGACAAAGCACAAGUUUCUCAUUCACUUCGUGCCUGAAUAUUGCAUUCGUGAUGUUCAGAGUGUGUUUGUUAAUGGUGCUGCAUUCCGGAGAGGGUUCAAUUUAGAUAGUAACCGCAUUGUUAUGUGCUUUGGUGCCACGAAUCGUGUUGCCUGAAUGCAGUUACAGACGUGUCAUUCACCGUUUUGAUUAGUCUAUUGUUUGCUUUGCGAUGACUAUGAAUCUCGUCGGUUUCACGUGUUCAUAAUGAAAGGUGAUCUGAUAGUUGUCUUAUUCUGGGAUAAGACACUAUGUGUUACUCCAAGAAGAUGCGGUCGAGUGGAUGAUUUGGGUUUAAGCAAUCAUAUUAUCUUGGUAGCCAUGAAACAAAUGAUAUUGUUGAUAUAUGGAAUAUCUAGGAGGAUUUUUGCUCGAAUGAGAAUCAUGUCUCCUUCUGCAACCUUUGUAAACAAUUAUGAGAAUGGGCAUUGUGUUCAGCAUCCUUCUUCUAGGACUUCUGGUGUACCUGUUGCUCCAAGUAAUACUAUGACCACGCGAGCUACAGGAAGAAAUCAUGGAAAUAGGAAAAGGUCACGUGGAAGCACUAGCUUGGCAAGAGAGGAAGGACAAACUUCUUCAAGUGAGCCCAAUGCUAUUCCUACAAGGUCAAGGAGAACGACUCCAAGAACAGUUAUUGAGGAUUACAUAACUCCUGCCGAAGGAGCCAUAUUGCACUCGCCACUUGUUCGUGGUACUUCUGAUGUUCCUUUUCCACCCUCAGGAGGACAUCAGAGCAGAUCUGGCAGGAAAGCUAGCUUGUCCAGAACUUAUGAAGGGUCUCGUUCAAGCUCUGCAACAGGUGACGAGGUACCUGGUAUAAGCUCGGAAACAGCCGACAGAGAAGAUGCUGGGGUUUCUGAGGAUGACCUGACACCUGCAGAGAGGGCUAUCUCUGCCACACGACUUCUCAGUGGCUUAGGGAAGCACCCCUCUGUGUAUGCUAGAGCAGGACGGAACCCUCCCCCACAAGGUCUUAGCUUUCGGGGUGCUUGGAAAAACGCAGUAGAACUGUAUAGUGUAGCAAAUCAUCAGUACAAGGAGCUCCUCCAUAAUGCUGGAUUUGAAGACUUUCUUAAAAUCAAUCCGGUAGAGCUUCCACAGGGAUACCUUAUCGCCUUGAUGGAGAGGUGGUUUGCUCAGACGAACACUGUCCACUUGCCCUGUGGUGAAAUCGGUCCGACUCCAUUAGACUGGACAAUGAUUACUGGGCUUCGUUUUGGAGGUCAAUCCAUAUCCCUGGACCCUAAUUAUGCAAAGGAUGAAGCAGUGAAACUUCUUGGACUUAAACGUAGAAAGAGAGUUUUCCAGGGAAACAGGAUUACCUUGAGUGCGAUCAGACCUACAGAGGCACAGGUGAGGGCUUUUCCCGCAAAUGAUGUCAUAAAGGAAAGGAUUUCCCGUCGAUUGUUCCUCUAUGUCAUCGGCAGUUGUUUCUUCGGAAACAGCAAAUCAGUGAUACAUCAUGAGCUUGUGAAGCUUGUGGAAGAUAUACAUGCAGUGCCAGAUUAUGAUUGGGGGGCAUUUACUUAUGCAGCCUUCCUUGUUGGUAUGAGAAGGAAGGUUACUGGACAGAUAGGAUCCUUCACGGCAUUCUGGCCGUUUUUGGUGUUCUGGGCUUUCGAGUAUCUGAACAUAUGUCGUCCGGAGCACACUGAGAAUGUGAAUGUCUUUCCAAGGGCUAUGCGCUGGAAGUUUCCAGAAAAUGGCGGUACUCUUGAUAAUUUUGACCUUACUGCUUCCCGCUGUCAAUUGGAUUACGUUGAUGACGAGUCCAAGGUGACCUGGCAACCGUACCUGGACAGUGAAAAAUAUAGUUCAGUUGACAUCAAAACUUCAAUUGAUCUGGCGAAGAGCAGGGUACCGUUUAGGAGUUUUGCCACCUGGGAAUAUUAUCUCGGGGAGAGAUGUGGACGACAAUUAGGUCUCCCUUGUCUAGUUCCCUCUGACCCUCCAAAAAAGCUGUACAGAGACUUUACAAAGAAAUCCCCGAGUGGGAAGGUGAAAGAGAAUAAAGAACCCCGAACUAUAGAAAACGCUGCUGAAACUUUGGUGGAGUCAGAGAAUCUUGAAUAUGCCUCCUGGUUCGCAGAAAACUCAAUCGGGAAAAUUGUCGAUGUGACUCGACUAAUUGGAGGAACUGCAAUCGGAAGAAAAGUCAUAAGUGACUGGAUGGCAAAGCACCGAACAGGCAUAGUUUUAGUCCCUAAAUCUGAAGUCGAGGAAAUAACACUGGCUUGUGAUGCUGCUGAUGCUGAGCGUAAAAAGCUUCAAGAAGAGUUGGUAAGAUUUGAUAUUUACUUGCAUUCAGUUCAAUAUGUACUAACUAAUAUUAUUUCAACAAGAAUAUGAUGGUCAAAUGUAAGUUUUGUGUUGUUUCGCAGUCUCAACUUAGAAGAGGUUGAGAUUUCUAAGAGAAGAAUAGGUUCGUCAAGCUCUGAAUAUGUUUCUCCUCAGCUAUGACGAUUCCUAUAUACAAGAUAGUAUCUCUGCAUUAGACUUCUGUCCAGAAACCAACUUAUAAAGAUGAGCAUGGGUUGUCCCGUCCCAAGUCCAGGCCAGCUUAAAGUCACCCGAGGUUUGAUGGCCUUCAUUGCGGUGCUGAUAUAUCUGAAUUGCUUUUAAUGUUUGUAAACUGAAACUUUAGGACUGGGGGACUUGACUUGACAAUUUAGCUGUCCAUAUAGUAGUUAUGGGCUGGAGAUAGUGCUAAGUGCUUGACUGAAGAAAGUAUUUGAUUCAAGUGAGACGAUUUUUUAUUUUUGGGUAAGGAUUCAAGUGAGACGAUUUGUAUACUAGUAUGCUCUAUUGUGCCUAGUGUGGACCAUUUGUUGGGAUAGUAGUAUUAUGAUUGCCAGACUCUUAUCUUUUGUUCUAU
This is an RNA transcript of Daucus carota subsp. sativus, 3115 nucleotides long. RefSeq lists it as uncharacterized. The transcript has 8 exons. Lineage: Eukaryota; Viridiplantae; Streptophyta; Magnoliopsida; Apiales; Apiaceae. The record is from RefSeq and is a predicted model, not a curated record.